CUAAUACAUGCAAGUCGAACGCAAUCUUUGACUAAUGAGUGCUUGCACUCAGCAGUCAAAGUGCGAGUGGCGAACGGGUGAGUAACACGUGGGCAAUCUGCCCAAAAGUGGGGGAUAACACUUGGAAACAGGUGCUAAUACCGCAUCAACCGGCUGACCGCAUGGUCGGCCGGGCAAAGACGGCGUCAGCUGUCGCUUUUGGAUGAGCCCGCGGCGUAUUAACUAGUUGGUAAGGUAACGGCUUACCAAGGUGAUGAUACGUAGCCGAACUGAGAGGUUGAUCGGCCACAUUGGGACUGAGACACGGCCCAAACUCCUACGGGAGGCAGCAGUAGGGAAUCUUCCACAAUGGACGCAAGUCUGAUGGAGCAACGCCGCGUGUAUGAAGAAGGUCUUCGGAUCGUAAAAUACUGUUGUCAGAGAAGAACACGUGAUAGAGUAACUGCUAUGGCGCUGACGGUAUCUGACCAGCAAGUCACGGCUAACUACGUGCCAGCAGCCGCGGUAAUACGUAGGUGGCAAGCGUUGUCCGGAUUUAUUGGGCGUAAAGGGAACGCAGGCGGUCUUUUAAGUCUGAUGUGAAAGCCUUCGGCUUAACCGGAGAAGUGCAUUGGAAACUGGAAGACUUGAGUGCAGAAGAGGAGAGUGGAACUCCAUGUGUAGCGGUGAAAUG
RNAcentral lists this ribosomal RNA (673 nucleotides) under Ligilactobacillus acidipiscis. RNAcentral's name for it is "bacterial SSU rRNA". It matches the Rfam family "Bacterial small subunit ribosomal RNA", at positions 48 to 688 of the family's 1533-position model. Lineage: Bacteria; Bacillati; Bacillota; Bacilli; Lactobacillales; Lactobacillaceae. The record is from RNAcentral.